This is a long non-coding RNA of Beta vulgaris subsp. vulgaris (sugar beet), 1196 nucleotides long. RefSeq lists it as uncharacterized. The record is from RefSeq and is a predicted model, not a curated record. The transcript is spliced from 2 exons. NCBI's taxonomy places the organism in Eukaryota, Viridiplantae, Streptophyta, Magnoliopsida, Caryophyllales, Amaranthaceae.
UCAAUUUGCGUCGCCUCAUUUGCGUCGCACAAACACGGAAACGACGCAAAAAUACUAUUUGCGUCGCAUGCAACAAUGAAUCGACGCACAAGACGAACGAUGUGCGUCGUAUGUAACUAACGUGCGAUGCAAAUCAUCUAUGUGCGUCGCACUAUGGGCUUCAUGCGACGCACAUAACAAAGUCAUCUGCGUCGGACCCCUUGGCCCAUCCGACGCAAAUCAGCCCAAAAGCCCCAACUUGCGCGACUCUUAAAGACUUCUCUCACCAGUUCAGGGCCUCAUUCUCUCAAGCCCUAAAUUUCUAUCUUUAUGCCGCGUCUCUCUCCUCACACUAGAAAGACGGCCUUAUUCUCUCAAACCCUAACUUCUCUCUCACCUUCCUUCAUCUCUCUCUCUCACCUACCGUAAUCUCUCUCUCUCACCCACCUUACCUUCAUCGAUCUCUCUCACCUACCUUCAUCUCAACAACGAAAUCAUUCAUCUUCGUAUUUUCGUGUUUUCGGAUCUCCGGCAAGUCGACGAGUUCUUCAAACGACGAGCAAGAACUUAAACGACGGUCUUCUUGUUCCUCUCUCUCAAUUCCAGAACUUGUUCCUCAAAACUCAAUCAACUUAAAUAUAUGGCGACGAAAUUCUCUGAAGAUGAACGUUUCAUCGAUCAAAUCCCUCGAAACCUACACUUCUUCCUCUCCUGAAAUCCGCAAACGUUUCAUUCGUUUACAUCUUCUUCAUCGUUUCAUUCGCUUACAGAUCUGCCAAAUGCAAUCGAACUCAAACGCAAUCGAAGAUCUGAAAUUUUCAGUAAGAGGAUGGUAUCUUCUCGAAAUCUUGUUGUUGCGUUUGUGGUGAAGAUCUUGAUUGCUAUGAAAUUACAAGAAAUUCUCGAAGAUCUGGAUUGUGUUUGAGUUUUUUCAUUUUAUUUUUAAUUUUAUCUCCUGUUAUAUAAAAACGCGGUUAUAGAUAAUUUUUUAGUUUGUAAUUUUAUCUUUUGGUUAGGGUUAGAAUUUCUUAUUUUUUUGUAUGUUUUAGUUAUAAAUCUGAUGUUAGUGAUAAUGGUGAAAUUUUUUUCUUCUUGAAAUUAUGUAAAACCGCGCACUGUUGAUGUUAGUCCAUUGCCUUUGUAGUUUGUAAUUUUAUCUUCUCCAUUUUUGUAUGUUCUUCAUUUCCUUUUCAAUUACUGAUUCGUUAUUGCUGAUU